Molecule: ribosomal RNA, 440 nt
Filed under: uncultured bacterium
Lineage: Bacteria
Description: partial 16S ribosomal RNA
Rfam family: Bacterial small subunit ribosomal RNA
Source: RNAcentral
CCUACGGGAGGCAGCAGUGGGGAAUAUUGGACAAUGGGGGAAACCCUGAUCCAGCGACGCCGCGUGAGUGAAGAAGUAUUUCGGUACGUAAAGCUCUAUCAGCAGGAAAGAAAAUGACGGUACCUGACUAAGAAGCCCCGGCUAACUACGUGCCAGCAGCCGCGGUAAUACGUAGGGGGCAAGCAUUAUCCGGAUUUACUGGGUGUAAAGGGAGCGUAGACGGCAGCGCAAGUCUGGAGUGAAAUGCCGGGGCGCAACCCCGGAACUGCUCUGGAAACUGUGAAGCUGGAGUGCAGGAGAGGUAAGCGGAAUUCCUGGUGUAGCGGUGAAAUGCGUAGAGAUCAGGAGGAACACCGAAGGCGAAGGCGGCUUACUGGACUGUAACUGACGUUGAGGCUCGAAGGCGUGGGGAGCAAACAGGAUUAGAUACCCCAGUAGUC